RNAcentral lists this ribosomal RNA (420 nucleotides) under uncultured eukaryote. RNAcentral describes it as "SSU rRNA". It matches the Rfam family "Eukaryotic small subunit ribosomal RNA", at positions 567 to 990 of the family's 1831-position model. The record is from RNAcentral.
CCAGCAGCUGCGGUAAUUCCAGCUCCAAUAGCGUAUAUUAAAGUUGUUGCAGUUAAAAAGCUCGUAGUUGGAUUUCUGGCAGGAGCGACCGGUCUCACACUCUGUGUGAGAACUCGUGUUGUCUCUGGCCAUCCUUGGGGAGAUCCUGUUUGGCAUUAAGUUGUUGGUCUCGGGAUCUGCAUCGUUUACUGUGAAAAAAUUAGAGUGUUUAAAGCAGGCAUUUGCUUGAAUACAUUAGCAUGGAAUAAUAAGAUAGGACUUUGGUACUAUUUUGUUGGUUUGCGCACCAAGGUAAUGAUUAAUAGGGAUAGUUGGGGGUAUUCAUAUUUAAUUGUCAGAGGUGAAAUUCUUGGAUUUAUGAAAGAUGAACUUAUGCGAAAGCAUUUACCAUGGAGGUUUUCAUUAAUCAAGAACGAAAGU